This 29-nucleotide non-coding RNA is filed under the name Homo sapiens (human). The record is from RNAcentral. Lineage: Eukaryota; Metazoa; Chordata; Mammalia; Primates; Hominidae.
UCCAAAAUGGUGUCCAAUUUACAGCUUGU